Small nuclear RNA from Syngnathus typhle (broad-nosed pipefish), 118 nucleotides. RefSeq annotates it as U5 spliceosomal RNA. The transcript has a single exon. The record is from RefSeq and is a predicted model, not a curated record. Lineage: Eukaryota; Metazoa; Chordata; Actinopteri; Syngnathiformes; Syngnathidae.
UCACUCUUGUUUCUCUUCAGAUCGUACAAAUCUUUCGCCUUUUACUAAAGAUUUCCGUGGGGAGGAACAACAAGAGUUUAUCUCAAUUUAUUUUUUGAUGCUCUGCGAAAGCAGAGCU